This 1610-nucleotide long non-coding RNA is filed under the name Ornithorhynchus anatinus (platypus). RNAcentral describes it as "lncRNA (ENSOANG00000045043.1)". The record is from RNAcentral. Lineage: Eukaryota; Metazoa; Chordata; Mammalia; Monotremata; Ornithorhynchidae.
AUGGGAAACCACUUUGGGGAGGGUGUUUUUGGUCACAGAGAAGUAGGACGAGAGCUCUGUGUGGAGAUCACUUAUCAGAAUUACAACCUCCUCCAUUUGGCUCGACGGACGAAGUACCGGAUAGAACUCCUGGGACAAUGGAGUGAGGAGUUUGAGGCUUUGUGUUGCCCAAGAGCCUGUGGCAGUCAUAGCAUAUCUUUGGAACAGGAGCCUGAAUCAGUUCAAGUCAUUACCCGGGAGCAGCUGGGGCUAAGCACCAGAUGUGGGAAUCUUCGGUUGCUGUCUCGGAUUUGCCUGCCACGGAAGGCUGCAGAUCCUUGGAGGGUUGAGGAUGGAUUGAGAAGAUUCCCUCCCUGUCCCCAGCCAGGUGACCCCAGGAGGCCAGGCUGCCAUCAUGUAGGAGGUCUCUGGUUAUCUCAGGGAAAGCUCGGAAAAUUGGAGAAUGGUUCAGCUGGGGAAAUCCAGUUACCCCCAGCACAGAAAUUCCCUCACCCAAUGACUGUGACCAUCCUACAGCUGCUGACAGACUACCGGGAUGAUAAUGAUGUUGAGUAGAGCCAGAGGAGUCCACACAAUGGCGAAACCUUCCCUGAACUGCGACCUUGUCAACUGGCAUUUGCUUACUAUGCUGGGAGAUGAGCAGGAAAGACUGGGCAACUAGAGGUAAAAGGUCACAUGGUUUGUAUUAAUAGCUGGGUCGAGGGUGACCGCUCCUGAUCCUGCUGUACUCUGAACAAGUAGAUCGCUCAAUAAAUACCACUGAUUGAUGUCACAUACAUCACACCAGCCAUGCAGAGAAACAUGGUGAAAACACAGACAUCAUUCUCCAGAAGUAUGGGCAUUUUGGGUGAUUCUAGAAUGGUUGCCUCGGGUGGAUCCUGAAUCCCUUACCCCCGCCUGCUCCAGAGCCUUUUCAUUCCCUUCCCAGGUCUGUGUGACAUCUGCCGCAGGCUCCAAGCCACAGCAGAGAGAGGCUUGUGCCAAAAAUAAAAAUCACUGGGCAUGAGAACACCUGAUACCUUAGCAGAGCUGGACAGGGGACAGGGCAGCCGGAUGAAAUGGGAUGACUGGCCCCCCUUGCCUGGCCCCCCUAGCUGGGACCCUGUCCUGGCAGACCAGGGAAACUUUGGAGCAAAGAAUUCAUGGUGCAUAGACACAUGGUUGCCCUGGGCAAUAGUCGGGGCACAAUGAUUUCAUUUCACCUGUGGGUUGGUGAAGGGUUUCCUUACUGACAGUGUGGGGAGCACCUAUUGAAUUCCUUUCUCUCUCUACUCCCUCACUUAGUCUCAUCCUCAGGGCUCACAGUAGGGGACAGGCCCAGCCUAGUCCCACCCUUGCUACAUGCCCCUGGGAGGUGCGAUUCAGGUGGGGGGAAGGGAUUUCAGGUCACUGGGGCAUGGUGGGGAGGAAGAGGGCUCAAAGUAAGCUUUCAAUAAAUACCAUUGAUUGUCUAACAGCUUGUUAUAACAGCUCCUGCUUCAAAGCCUAAGUGAUUCUUUCAGGAAUGUCCUCUCCUAAUUCUUCUCAUAUCUCUCUGGCCUCUCCUUCUCAGUGUUCUUCACAGGCUCCUCCUCUGCCACCCAUCCUCUAACUGUGGGAGUGCCUCAAGG